RNAcentral lists this ribosomal RNA (433 nucleotides) under uncultured bacterium. RNAcentral describes it as "partial 16S ribosomal RNA". It matches the Rfam family "Bacterial small subunit ribosomal RNA", at positions 29 to 507 of the family's 1533-position model. The record is from RNAcentral.
AACGAACGCUGGCGGCAUGCCUAACACAUGCAAGUCGAACGAGACCUUCGGGUCUAGUGGCGCACGGGUGCGUAACGCGUGGGAACCUGCCCUUAGGUUCGGAAUAACUCCCCGACAGGGGUGCUAAUACCGGAUAAUGUCUUCGGACCAAAGAUUUAUCGCCUUUGGAUGGGCCCGCGUUGGUUUAGCUGGUUGGUAGGGUAAAAGCCUACCAAGGCGACGCUCCAUAGCUGGUCUGAGAGGAUGAUCAGCCACACUGGGACUGAGACACGGCCCAGACUCCUACGGGAGGCAGGAGUGGGGAAUAUUGGACUAUGGGCGAAAGCCUGAUCCAGCAAGGCCGCGUGAGUGAUGAAGGCCUUAGGGUUGUAAAGCUCUUUUACCCGGGAUGAUAAUGACAGUACCGGGAGAAUAAGCACCGGCUAACUCCGUG